Molecule: unclassified non-coding RNA, 419 nt
Filed under: Hevea brasiliensis (rubber tree)
Lineage: Eukaryota; Viridiplantae; Streptophyta; Magnoliopsida; Malpighiales; Euphorbiaceae
Source: RNAcentral
CAGAACCGUACAAAGGAUGCUGCUUCUGGAGAGGGCACGAACAGAGAUCACAUUCAGCGUGAUGAGAGGCGCUUAACUGAACUAGGUCGGCGAACUAUUGAAAUAUUUGUGCUUGCGCAUAUUUUCAGUAAAAUAGAGGUUGCAUAUAAGGAAGCUGUUGCAUUAAAGAGGCAAGAGGAACUCAUCCGUGAAGAGGCUGCUUGGCUGGCUGAAACUGAGAAGAAAGCUAAACGAGCAUCCGAGAAGGAAAAGAAGUCGAAGAAAAAACAGAAGCGGAAUAUCCGGAAAGCAAAGGAUAAGGAGAGAAAUGAAAAAUCUGAUGUUAUGGUGCAUGAUAAGAUUGAAGUUGAUGGUCCCAUUGGUGAAGGAAAUGAGUACAUGGCUGAGAUGCCAGGACAAGUACUUGGUAAAUCAGAUGU